Molecule: ribosomal RNA, 496 nt
Filed under: uncultured Halobacterium sp.
Lineage: Archaea; Methanobacteriati; Methanobacteriota; Halobacteria; Halobacteriales; Halobacteriaceae
Description: bacterial SSU rRNA
Rfam family: Archaeal small subunit ribosomal RNA
Source: RNAcentral
CCGAUUAGCCUGCUAGUUGUGCGGGUUUAGACCCGCAGCGGAAAGCUCAGUAACACGUGGCCAAGCUACCCUGUGGACGGGAAUACUCUCGGGAAACUGAGGCUAAUCCCCGAUAACGCUUUGCUCCUGGAAGGGGCAAAGCCGGAAACGCUCCGGCGCCACAGGAUGCGGCUGCGGUCGAUUAGGUAGACGGUGGGGUAACGGCCCACCGUGCCCAUAAUCGGUACGGGUUGUGAGAGCAAGAGCCCGGAGACGGAAUCUGAGACAAGAUUCCGGGCCCUACGGGGCGCAGCAGGCGCGAAACCUUUACACUGUACGAAAGUGCGAUAAGGGGACUCCGAGUGUGAAGGCAUAGAGCCUUCACUUUUGUACACCGUAAGGUGGUGCACGAAUAAGGACUGGGCAAGACCGGUGCCAGCCGCCGCGGUAAUACCGGCAGUCCGAGUGAUGGCCGAUCUUAUUGGGCCUAAAGCGUCCGUAGCUGGCUGAACAAGUC